RNAcentral lists this ribosomal RNA (253 nucleotides) under uncultured bacterium. RNAcentral describes it as "partial 16S ribosomal RNA". It matches the Rfam family "Bacterial small subunit ribosomal RNA", at positions 524 to 776 of the family's 1533-position model. The record is from RNAcentral.
UACGUAGGUGGCAAGCGUUGUCCGGAUUUACUGGGCGUAAAGGGCGUGCAGGCGGUCUGUUAAGUUCAGGGUGAAAGCUCCCGGCUCAACUGGGAGAGGUCCUUGGAUACGGGCAGACUUGAGGGAGGUAGAGGAGAGUGGAAUUCCCGGUGUAGUGGUGAUAUGCGUAGAUAUCGGGAGGAACACCAGUGGCGAAGGCGGCUCUCUGGGCCUUUCCUGACGCUGAGACGCGAAAGCGUGGGGAGCGAACCGG